GUCUGCAGCCGUGCCACCCUGAACGAGCCCGAUGUCUGAUCUUAGAAGCUCACAGGGUCGGGUCUGGUUAGUACUUGGAUGGGAGACCACCUAGGAAGACUAGGUGCUGUAGGCA
This 115-nucleotide ribosomal RNA is filed under the name Pteropus alecto (black flying fox). The record is from RNAcentral. Lineage: Eukaryota; Metazoa; Chordata; Mammalia; Chiroptera; Pteropodidae.